GACGAACGCUGGCGGCGUGCUUAACACAUGCAAGUCGAACGGAAAGGCCCUGCUUUUGUGGGGUGCUCGAGUGGCGAACGGGUGAGUAACACGGGAGUAACCUGCCCUGGACUUGGGGACAACUUCAGAAAGCCGGGGAUACUACCGGCUAGGUGCUCUUGCUGCUGGGGGGGGGUGGGAAGUUUUGGGCGGUGGGGGAUGGACUGGCGGCUAAUCAGCUUGUGGGGGGGGUAGUGGCUAACCAGGGCUUUGACGGGUAGUUGGCCUGGGUGGGUGACCGGCGACAUUGGGACUGAGAUACGGCGCAGACUCCUACGGGAGGCAGCAGGGGGGAAUAUUGCACAAUGGUCGGAAGCCUGAUGCAGCAACGCCGCGAGCGGGAUGACGGCUUUCGGGUUGUAAACCGCUUUCGCUCGUGACGAAGCGGGAGUGACGUUAAUGGGUAAAGAAGCACCGGCUAACUACGUG
Molecule: ribosomal RNA, 468 nt
Filed under: uncultured bacterium
Lineage: Bacteria
Description: partial 16S ribosomal RNA
Rfam family: Bacterial small subunit ribosomal RNA
Source: RNAcentral